CAGCAGCCGCGGGAAUACGUAGGUGGCAAGCGUUGUCCGGAAUUAUUGGGCGUAAAGGGCUCGCAGGCGGUUUCUUAAGUCUGAUGUGAAAGCCCCCGGCUCAACCGGGGAGGGUCAUUGGAAACUGGGAAACUUGAGUGCAGAAGAGGAGAGUGGAAUUCCACGUGUAGCGGUGAAAUGCGUAGAGAUGUGGAGGAACACCAGUGGCGAAGGCGACUCUCUGGUCUGUAACUGACGCUGAGGAGCGAAAGCGUGGGGAGCGAACAGGAUUAGAUACCCCCGUAGUCCCUGUCUCUUAUAU
This 301-nucleotide ribosomal RNA is filed under the name uncultured bacterium. Its description in RNAcentral is "partial 16S ribosomal RNA". It matches the Rfam family "Bacterial small subunit ribosomal RNA", at positions 509 to 809 of the family's 1533-position model. The record is from RNAcentral.